GAUGAACGCUAGCUACAGGCUUAACACAUGCAAGUCGCGGGGCAGCAUGGGGGUUGCUUGCAACCCCUGAUGGCGACCGGCGCACGGGUGAGUAACGCGUAUCCAACCUGCCCUUCACCACGGGAUAACCCGGCGAAAGUCGGCCUCAUACCGUAUGUGGACCAUUGACGGCGUCCGACUUGGACGAAAGGAUUGGCGGGGAAAGGAUGGGGAUGCGUCCGAUUAGCUUGACGGCGGGAUAACGGCCCACCGUGGCUACGAUCGGUAGGGGUUCUGAGAGGAAGGUCCCCCACGCUGGAACUGAGACACGGUCCAGACUCCUACGGGAGGCAGCAGUGAGGAAGAUUGGUCAAUGGGCGUAAGCCUGAACCAGCCAAGUAGCGUGCAGGAUGACGGCCCUAUGGGUUGUAAACUGCUUUUAUGCGGGGAUAAAGUGGCCCUCGUGUGGGCUUUUGCAGGUACCGCAUGAAUAAGGACCGGCUAAUUCCGUG
RNAcentral lists this ribosomal RNA (491 nucleotides) under uncultured bacterium. RNAcentral's name for it is "partial 16S ribosomal RNA". It matches the Rfam family "Bacterial small subunit ribosomal RNA", at positions 28 to 507 of the family's 1533-position model. The record is from RNAcentral.